UAGCGUAAUCACUUGUCCCCUAAAUAGAGACUAGUAUGAACGGCCACAUGAGGGCCUAACUGUCUCCUUUGGCUAGCCAAUGAACCUGAUCUUCCAGUACAAAAGCUGAAAUAAUCCCAUAAGACGAGAAGACCCUGUGGAGCUUAAGCUCCCGCACUAACCUAAAUAAUAGUGCCCCCCUUUAGUUGGGGCGACUACGGAAUGAAACACAACUUCCACGCCACAGAUUCCGGAUCUGCACAACGGCACACACGCCAAUGCGUUAACAAUAUGACCCAGCAUAGCUGACUAACGAACCAAGUUACCCCAGGGAUAACAGCGCCAUCCUCUUCAAGAGCCCCUAUCGCCAAGAGGGUUUACGACCUCGAUGUUGGAUCAGGACCCCCCGGUGGUGCAGCCGCUACCAAAGGUUCGUUUGUUCAACGAUUA
This 429-nucleotide ribosomal RNA is filed under the name Gonatodes annularis (annulated gecko). Its description in RNAcentral is "partial 16S ribosomal RNA". It matches the Rfam family "Archaeal large subunit ribosomal RNA", at positions 2034 to 2659 of the family's 2987-position model. The record is from RNAcentral. Lineage: Eukaryota; Metazoa; Chordata; Lepidosauria; Squamata; Sphaerodactylidae.